RNAcentral lists this long non-coding RNA (2034 nucleotides) under Olea europaea (common olive). Its description in RNAcentral is "long non-coding RNA (OEUR_LNC007995)". The record is from RNAcentral. Lineage: Eukaryota; Viridiplantae; Streptophyta; Magnoliopsida; Lamiales; Oleaceae.
UCACAAAUAUAAUUUAAUUACCUUGAAUAUCAAUUGCAUUAAUGUAGGGGUACAGUAGGAAAAAUUAUAGUAAAAUUUAUUAUUUCAACUAUAUUAACUAAAUUUUCUUAAUCUGUAUGGAAAAAAAUAAAAAUUUAUCUUUAUGGGAGAAAAGAGUAUUUCAUAAGAAGAUUGGAACAAGAAAAUCCCUCUUAUUCUUCAACAAACGAGACAUAACUGAGGAGUUUACUGUCAAUGCAAAUGAUUACUGGGUCAUAUUAUAAAGGAUCCAAACAAAAAACCAUUUGACAUGCAAACAAAAUAGGGAAAAUUUGAUUCAUUGCUUGAUUGCCAUAAACCAAUGACCAUCCUUUCGACGGUGGAAACUAAGAAAAACAAAAGAAAGCAUACUGAAUAAUAAACCUUCUAAAUUUCCUUAUUUUAAAAAGGCUCGAAUGUGUUUCAAUGCUUGGGAGAGUAUUUGAUUUGGAAGGUCAACUCAACAAUUAAUGGAAGCAGAGGUCGAAUGAGGGUCAGUAAACCCUGCCUUUUACUCUCACCCACUUGAGUUGGCAAAGCUUUUUCUUCCGCAUGAGUUUGAAUGGGAGGGCCUAAAAUCCUUAAUUCAUAGAAUUUCUUGGAACUUAAAUCUCAAAAAAAAGAAAUAUGUGCUACUAAGAAAGUCAUCACAGGAGAUUUCAGAAGUUAAUCAGGUGCGGCAAGCACAAUUGCCAAUGUCUGACAAACAUAACAAGGCAAGGUUGUGAUGAAAACUAAUCGCCAUACUUCUAAUGGAAGACAUCUUCCAUACUACAAAAUUCACUGACACCAUUAAUGCCAUUUCAACAAAACAGAUUCUCAAACCAAGAAGUCUACUGCACGCAACAGUAAGUCUACUGCACGCAACAGUAAGUCUCUAAUAUAUUAAAACCCAAUUCCUUCACUUAUGCCACUUCAUCAAGGGCCCUGAGAUUUUCAAUUUGACAGCACAAAACAAUCUCUCAUUCAGUAAUUAUUAGAAGAACCAAGCGCACUGCACUAUAACUCCCUCUGUCCCAUGUAGUCCUUUUUUCCUUUUUCGUCUAUCCUAAAUUAUAGUCCUGUUUCUUAUUUGAGAGUAUAGUUAAUAUAUUAAUUUAGUAAUAUGUCCCUAUUUAAUGUGCUUUGUUAUCACAAAUAUAAUUUAAUUACCUUGAAUAUCAAUUGCAUUAAUGUAGGGGUACAGUAGGAAAAAUUAUAGUAAAAUUUAUUAUUUCAACUAUAUUAACUAAAUUUUCUUAAUCUGUAUGGAAAAAAAUAAAAAUUUAUCUUUAUGGGAGAAAAGAGUAUUUCAUAAGAAGAUUGGAACAAGAAAAUCCCUCUUAUUCUUCAACAAACGAGACAUAACUGAGGAGUUUACUGUCAAUGCAAAUGAUUACUGGGUCAUAUUAUAAAGGAUCCAAACAAAAAACCAUUUGACAUGCAAACAAAAUAGGGAAAAUUUGAUUCAUUGCUUGAUUGCCAUAAACCAAUGACCAUCCUUUCGACGGUGGAAACUAAGAAAAACAAAAGAAAGCAUACUGAAUAAUAAACCUUCUAAAUUUCCUUAUUUUAAAAAGGCUCGAAUGUGUUUCAAUGCUUGGGAGAGUAUUUGAUUUGGAAGGUGAACUCAACAAUUAAUGGAAACAGAGGUCGAAUGAGGGUCAGUAAACCCUGCCUUUUACUCUCACCCACUUGAGUUGGCAAAGCUUUUUCUUCCGCAUGAGUUUGAAUGGGAGGGCCUAAAAUCCUUAAUUCAUAGAAUUUCUUGGAACUUAAAUCUCAAAAAAAAGAAAUAUGUGCUACUAAGAAAGUCAUCACAGACUUACAGCAUGCUUGGGAGUGCUUACUUUAAAAUUUAAGUGGUUAUGAAUUGUGGUCAUAAAGAAUGUGUGAAUAGUAAGUGGUGGUAGUGAUGGAUCCUACAAAAUAUGUGAAUAAAAGUAUGUUUGACCAACUUAAAUUAUAAUUUAAACUUCGCAAAACAAACACCUAACCAUACAAUAAAAACCUUCCAAUAUUCAUGAAGUGUAAGAG